ACCUAGACAGUGUAUUAAAAAGCAGAGGCAUCACUUUGCUAACCAAAGUCCAUAUUGUUGAAGCUUUGGUUUUUCCAGUAGUUGUGUAUGAAUGUGAGAGUUGGACCAUAAAGAAAGCUGAGCGCCAAAGAACUGAUUCUUUCAAACUGGUGCUAGAGAAGACUCUUGAGAGUCCCUUGGACAGCAAGGAGAUCAAAUCAGUUAAUCCUAAAGGAAAUCAACCUUGAAUAUUCAUUGGAAGGACUGUUGCUGAAGCUGAAGCUCCAGUACUUUGCUCAUCUGAUGCAAAGAACUGACUCAUUGGAAAAGACCCUGAUGCUGGGAAAUAUUGAAGGCAAGAGAAGGGGACAACAGAGGAUGAGAUGGUUGCAUAGCAUCACCAACUCAAUGGACAUGAGUUUGAGCAAACUCUGAGGGAUGGUGAAGACAGGGAAGCCUGGCAUGCUGCAGUCCAUGGGGUCUCAAAGAAUCGGACACAACUUAGCAACUGAACAACAACUUUUCUUUGGGAUAAAAAAAAAAAAGGUGGAUGCUUUAAAUAACAAAACCUACACAAGAGUAAAAAGCAUUUUUUUUUUUUUUGGCUGCACAGCUUGCAGGAUCUUAGUUCCCUGACCAGGGAUUGAUCAAACCCAGCCCUGGCAUCACUGCCAAGUCCUAACCACUGGACCACCAAGGAACUACCUGGAGAAGCAUCUUUUGAAGGGCUCCCAUCUAUGCUUUCAGUGGAAAGGUACACCCAGGACUCAGUAGUGACCUUUCUGUUUGAUGAAAUCGAUGAACAUCAUGCAUUCUCCUGGAACGGUAACUUAAUAUUUGUUUCAUUAAGACUGGGAGAGGUGGCACAUGGUGGGGGAGGGAGGAAUAUCAGCCAUAAACAGCAGGGGGUGAUCUGUCCAAAAGUCAGGGAAGAGAAAUAUCUACAUACAUACAGUGGACAGGAAGACUGCCCCAGAAGACAUCAGAAACAUUCAAUUAUACAUCAGACCCUUGUCAGAAGACUUUUGGGUCUUUGCUUUCUGCACCAUGCAACAAAACCUUUCCUGUACCCAUGUAUGUGCAUGCUAAAUUACUUCGGUCGUGUCUGA
Molecule: long non-coding RNA, 1088 nt
Filed under: Bos indicus x Bos taurus (hybrid cattle)
Lineage: Eukaryota; Metazoa; Chordata; Mammalia; Artiodactyla; Bovidae
Description: lncRNA (ENSBIXG00005015819.1)
Source: RNAcentral